This 468-nucleotide ribosomal RNA is filed under the name uncultured bacterium. Its description in RNAcentral is "partial 16S ribosomal RNA". It matches the Rfam family "Bacterial small subunit ribosomal RNA", at positions 28 to 507 of the family's 1533-position model. The record is from RNAcentral.
GAUGAACGCUGGCGGCGUGCUUAACACAUGCCAGUCGAACGGUGAAGGCGGAGCUUGCUCUGCUGGAUCAGUGGCGAACGGGUGAGUAACACGUGAGCAAUCUGCCCCUGACUCUGGGAUAAGCGCUGGAAACGGCGUCUAAUACUGGAUACGAGCUGCGAAGGCAUCUUCAGCAGCUGGAAAGAACUUCGGUCAGGGAUGAGCUCGCGGCCUAUCAGCUUGUUGGUGAGGUAACGGCUCACCAAGGCGUCGACGGGUAGCCGGCCUGAGAGGGUGACCGGCCACACUGGGACUGAGACACGGCCCAGACUCCUACGGGAGGCAGCAGUGGGGAAUAUUGCACAAUGGGCGAAAGCCUGAUGCAGCAACGCCGCGUGAGGGACGACGGCCUUCGGGUUGUAAACCUCUUUUAGCAGGGAAGAAGCGAAAGUGACGGUACCUGCAGAAAAAGCGCCGGCUAACUACGUG